Non-coding RNA from Camelina sativa (false flax), 176 nucleotides. The record is from RefSeq and is a predicted model, not a curated record. NCBI's taxonomy places the organism in Eukaryota, Viridiplantae, Streptophyta, Magnoliopsida, Brassicales, Brassicaceae.
GAAGAAAUCAAACAAAUGGUUGAUCCAUUGGCUAAUAAGCUGAACCCAAGACUGAUAUGUAAGGUGGAAGAUAUAUUAACACACAUGAAGAAGGUUCAUUUGUGUGAGAUGCUUUGUCUUCAAAUUCAGUCUCAGAAAGUAUGUGACGACUUGAGUGGUGCUAAGACAAAGAGGUU